UUACCCCGCUGGAACUUAAGCAUAUCAAUAAGCGGAGGAAAAGAAACUAACAAGGAUUCCCCUAGUAACUGCGAGUGAACAGGGAAGAGCUCAAAUUUUGAAUCUGGCAGUCUUUCGGCUGUCCGAGUUGUAAUCUAGAGAAGCGUCUUCCGCGUUGGACCGUGUACAAGUCUCCUGGAAGGGAGCGUCAUAGAGGGUGAGAAUCCCGUCUUUGACACGGACGCCCAGUGCUAUGUGAUGCGCUCUCGACGAGUCGAGUUGUUUGGGAAUGCAGCUCAAAUAGGGUGGUAAAUUCCAUCUAAAGCUAAAUAUAGGCGAGAGACCGAUAGCGAACAAGUACCGUGAGGGAAAGACGAAAAGAACUUUGGAAAGAGAGUUAAACAGUACGUGAAAUUGCUGAAAGGGAAACGCUUGAUGUCAGUCGCGUCGGCCGGGGAUCAACCUUGCUUCAUCGCUCGGUGCACUUCCUGGUCGAUGGGUCAGCAUCAGUUUCGUGCUCGCCGUACAAGGGCGGAGGGAACGUGGCACUCUUCGGAGUGUGUUAUAGCCCUUCGUCGUAUGCGGCGGUCGGGACUGAGGAACUCGGCACGGGCUUCGGCCUUGUGCUUAGGAUGCUGGGCAUAAUGGCCCUUAAGCGACCCCGUCUUGAAACACGGACCAAGGAGUCUAACAUCUAUGGGAGUGUUUGGGUGUCAAACCCCUGCGCGAAAUGAAAGUGAACGGAGGUGGGAACCCGCAAGGGCGCACCAUCGACCGGUCCUGAAGUCUUCUGAAGGAUCUGAGUAGGAGCAUAGCUGUUGGGACCCGAAAGAUGGUGAACUAUGCCUGAAUAGGGUGAAGCCAGAGGAAACUCUGGUGGAGGCUCGCAGCGGUUCUGACGUGCAAAUCGAUCGUCAAAUUUGGGUAUAGGGGCGAAAGACUUAUCCAACCAUCUAGAAUCUGGUUCCUGCCGAA
Molecule: ribosomal RNA, 954 nt
Filed under: Fistulinella viscida
Lineage: Eukaryota; Fungi; Basidiomycota; Agaricomycetes; Boletales; Boletaceae
Description: eukaryotic LSU rRNA
Rfam family: Eukaryotic large subunit ribosomal RNA
Source: RNAcentral